GAAACCCAGUGUGUUUCGACACACUAUCAUGUCAUGAAUACAUAGUGGCAUGAGGCGAACCGGGGGAACUGAAACAUCUAAGUACCCCGAGGAAAAGAAAUCAACCGAGAUUCCCCCAGUAGCGGCGAGCGAACGGGGAGGAGCCCAGAACCUGAAUCGGCUUGUGUGUUAGUGGAAGCGUCUGGAAAGUCGCGCAGCAAAGGGUGAUAGCCCCGUACACUAAAAUGCACAGGUCGUGAGUUCGAUGAGUAGGGCGGGACACGUGACAUCCUGUCUGAAUAUGGGGGGACCAUCCUCCAAGGCUAAAUACUCCUGACUGACCGAUAGUGAACCAGUACCGUGAGGGAAAGGCGAAAAGAACCCCGGCGAGGGGAGUGAAAUAGAACCUGAAACCGUGUACGUACAAGCAGUGGGAGCACCUUCGUGGUGUGACUGCGUACCUUUUGUAUAAUGGGUCAGCGACUUAUAUUUUGUAGCAAGGUUAACCGUAUAGGGGAGCCGUAGGGAAACCGAGUCUUAACUGGGCGAAUAGUUGCAAGGUAUAGACCCGAAACCCGGUGAUCUAGCCAUGGGCAGGUUGAAGGUUGGGUAACACUAACUGGAGGACCGAACCGACUAAUGUUGAAAAAUUAGCGGAUGACUUGUGGCUGGGGGUGAAAGGCCAAUCAAACCGGGAGAUAGCUGGUUCUCCCCGAAAGCUAUUUAGGUAGCGCCUCGUGAACUCAUCUUCGGGGGUAGAGCACUGUUUCGGCUAGGGGGCCAUCCCGGCUUACCAAACCGAUGCAAACUCCGAAUACCGAAGAAUGUUAUCACGGGAGACACACGGCGGGUGCUAACGUCCGUCGUGAAGAGGGAAACAACCCAGACCGCCAGCUAAGGUCCCAAAGUCAUGGUUAAGUGGGAAACGAUGUGGGAAGGCACAGACAGCCAGGAUGUUGGCUUAGAAGCAGCCAUCAUUUAAAGAAAGCGUAAUAGCUCACUGGUCGAGUCGGCCUGCGCGGAAGAUGUAACGGGGCUAAACCAUGCACCGA
RNAcentral lists this ribosomal RNA (1031 nucleotides) under Serratia marcescens. RNAcentral describes it as "partial 23S ribosomal RNA". It matches the Rfam family "Bacterial large subunit ribosomal RNA", at positions 123 to 1197 of the family's 2925-position model. The record is from RNAcentral. Lineage: Bacteria; Pseudomonadati; Pseudomonadota; Gammaproteobacteria; Enterobacterales; Yersiniaceae.